GAAGGGACGCAUUUAUUAGAUA
Molecule: non-coding RNA, 22 nt
Filed under: Arabidopsis thaliana (thale cress)
Lineage: Eukaryota; Viridiplantae; Streptophyta; Magnoliopsida; Brassicales; Brassicaceae
Source: RNAcentral